Molecule: ribosomal RNA, 433 nt
Filed under: uncultured bacterium
Lineage: Bacteria
Description: partial 16S ribosomal RNA
Rfam family: Bacterial small subunit ribosomal RNA
Source: RNAcentral
AACGAACGCUGGCGGCAUGCCUAACACAUGCAAGUCGAACGAAGGCUUCGGCCUUAGUGGCGCACGGGUGCGUAACGCGUGGGAAUCUGCCCUUUGCUUCGGAAUAACAGUUAGAAAUGACUGCUAAUACCGGAUGAUUUCGCAACACCAAAGAUUUAUCGGCAAAGGAUGAGCCCGCGUAGGAUUAGCUAGUUGGUGGGGUAAAGGCCUACCAAGGCGCCGAUCCUUAGCUGGUCUGAGAGGAUGAUCAGCCACACUGGGACUGAGACACGGCCCAGACUCCUACGGGAGGCAGCAGUGGGGAAUAUUGGACAAUGGGCGAAAGCCUGAUCCAGCAAUGCCGCGUGAGUGAUGAAGGCCUUAGGGUUGUAAAGCUCUUUUACCCGGGAUGAUAAUGACAGUACCGGGAGAAUAAGCUCCGGCUAACUCCGUG